Molecule: ribosomal RNA, 253 nt
Filed under: uncultured bacterium
Lineage: Bacteria
Description: partial 16S ribosomal RNA
Rfam family: Bacterial small subunit ribosomal RNA
Source: RNAcentral
UACGAAGGGGGCUAGCGUUGUUCGGAAUUACUGGGCGUAAAGCGUACGUAGGCGGAUUGUUAAGUGAGGGGUGAAAUCCCGAGGCUCAACCUCGGAACUGCCUUUCAUACUGGCAAUCUUGAGUCCGGGAGAGGUGAGUGGAACUCCUAGUGUAGAGGUGAAAUUCGUAGAUAUUAGGAAGAACACCAGUGGCGAAGGCGGCUCACUGGCUCAUUACUGACGCUCAGGCGCGAUAGCGUGGGGAUCAAACAGG